Macaca mulatta (Rhesus monkey) is the source of this 6239-nucleotide non-coding RNA. NCBI's taxonomy places the organism in Eukaryota, Metazoa, Chordata, Mammalia, Primates, Cercopithecidae. The record is from RefSeq and is a predicted model, not a curated record.
CACAUGCCUGUAAUCCCAGUUAAUUGAGAGGCUGAGGCAGGAAGGUGGCUUGAGUCCAGAAGUACUAGGCUGCAGUACGCUAUGAUCAUGCUUGUGAAUAGCCACUGCACUCUAGCCUGGGCAUCAUAGCAAGACCCCCAUUUUAAAAGAAAGAAGGAGAGAAAGAAAAAGAAAGAAAAAUGGAAAGAAAAAGAAGGAAGGAGAGAGGAAGAAAGAAAGAAAAGAAAGAAACAAUGUUAAGCAUUUGAUGGAAAGUUUGGGGUUAAAUUAGUGAUAUACACAGAAAAUGUUUGCUAAAACCAACAAAAACCAACUCCAGGGAAGCAAAAGUUUUAGCCAAAAUGAAAAGAAGAAUUAUAUAUACUACAGAGCUUCACUAUAACUAACAUAAAUACUAAGUAUUAAUCUAAUCAAAAUUUUGAUAUAAAGAUAGUAAGUAGAUGAAAAGAUGGGAAGGGUGGAUGUGUGGGAUGGGGCGGGAGAGGGUGGUGAAAGAAAGCUGUGCCCUUGUAUUCCACAGUGAGAAGUCAUGGAAAAUGCCUACACUUGAAUAAUCAAAUUAAUAACAUAAGCAAAUAUAGCGUUAAAAAGUUGUGGAAGUAAACAUCAAAACCACCAACCAACAAAUUAAUCAAAUGAGCAAAACAAAAUUUCUGAAAACAUUGAAUGUGGCCGCCUUUGGAGUGGAGAGAAAUAUACUGAGGGGAGGAACAAGGGACCAUUAUUUUUCACGUCAAACCUUAUUUAAAGCUUAUUUAAACCAUGACCUUGUAUAACUUUGGUUAAGGCAAACAAAAAUUAAAUUAUUUAACUACAUAAAAUAUAUUUAAGGACCUAAUAAUCACUAAAAGUAAGGAAAUUUGUUUGCCUCAGGGUGAUGACAACUGCUUGUUGUAUUUACAAAGUCAAGAUUUUGGUUUAGUGGUAAGUUCUGAUAAGGACUGUUGUAUGGGAGUUUCUAAACAGAUGAGGCAUUCCCUUUCCUGGAGCUAUGGGGGACCAGCAAUCAACGCUCAAUAGCCUGGCAUGGUUUAGGUGCAGUAAUAGAGUAAGGCUGUGUGCAUUUCCCUGUCUCAUUUAGGUUCCUUAUAAUUCUGUGGGCCUCCAGCGGUGGUGUGGUGUGAAGACAAAGCACUGGAUUUGUAGACACACAGACCCCAAGUCAAAUGCCAGCUCAAUCAUAUACUAUUUAUGUGACCUCAGAAGUGACCCAACCCCUCUGAACCUUAAUUUCCUCAUCCGUAAAAUGGGGCCAUGUGAUAUCCGCCUCAUGUGCUAAGCCAUUAAAUGAGCUUAUGUUUGUAAAGUAUCUGGCAGAUGCUCAAAAAAUAUCAGUUCCUUCCUCUCUGAAGUAGUGAAUCUCCUCACAGAUUCAGAGCAGUAAUCAUUUGAAUCAUAUGAUGAUAAUGUAUAUUCAUCUCUAAUGCAAUCAGGUAGGGAAUUAAAAUACAUAUUUAAAUAUCUUCUUGUUUUAACUUUUACAUGAUACAAAACAACCAGUUUUCCUAUCCUAGAAAGAUAUGCUUUAAAUAUAAUUUAUUUAGCCCAAUUAGAUAACUAUUUUGAUGUCCCGUAGACACAACUUGAGUGCUUAUGUCUCACAUAUGGCCUAGUACUGUGAGAAGACUUCAGAAAUGCUCAAGGCCUGUAGGUGAUGGAAUAGUCAAAAUAUGCCCCAUCCAGCCAGUCUCCCAAAUUGCUACAUAACCCCUUGAGACCCUGUGAAUCAUAGUUUAUAAGCAACUAUUCAUAAAUAUAGGCAUUUUCCCCAGGGUGUUUUUUAUAUGAGGUUGCUAAAGAUCAACUUAAAUAUGUGUAUAUAUUUUCUUUGCUAAGUAUUAACUCUAACACCUGACUCACAAAGGUGGAGGGAGGGGGGAAGGAAAAAUCCGCUAAGUUACAGAGGCCAGAGAGACCCCUUGCAGAGAGAGGAUGGCAAAGAAAGUCAACCUUUAAGAAAGGCCUCCCUAAGGAACAAGGACCGUGUGGUCCUGUGAUCCUCUGUAAUCUAAGUGCCAAGACUUAGUGCCAAGAAUAAAUGAUCCUGGUUGAUGAAGAGCAAUCUGCCACUUCUAAGCUUUGAUCAAAGAUCAGAAAACCAUCUCGGUGUUGCUGCGUCUGACAUCUGCUCACAUUUUCACAGUUUAGUGCCUAUAACAGGAAGUGCCUAUUUUCACCUUGAAAUUCUUUCAUUCAGUAGAAAUGUUUUUUGUUUUAAAUAAUUUAAAAAUAUAACCAGUGAGCAUCUUAAAUUUCCAUAAUUGGCUCACAGUAAAAUAGAUUUCUCACCUCUGAUUUAGGUGAAAUAACUUUGUUUCUGCUUUAUAUUAUUCUACUUUCUCUACCUCAAACAGGAACAAAAAUUCUUUUAAUAAUCAAUUGAGCUCCUCAGUUUCUUUAAUUGAACACUUGCCAGAUUCUGGGGAUACUAAGAUGACUGUGAAAGAGUAUCUUCCCUGGAGGAACUCAGUUUCUAUUCGGGAGUGAUAGUGGGGAGAGGGGAACCCAGAUUUGGAAAGAGACAAAGGUGAUAAGAAUGACAAUAAAAGUAUGUACAAAGGUUAAGAUAACACAAAAGAUAGAAAGGCCAACCCCGGAGCUUUCCAAAAAGGCUUACACAGAAGAGAUAAAGUUGUGGUUUGAUUUCCCAGGCCUUGUGAGAGCUUGCCAGUCAGGCAGAGACACUGAAGAUACUCAUGAAGGACAGUGAAGAAACAGAGCUUAGAACCAAACAGUAUGUUUGCAGAGUGGCACAAAGCUCCAUGUGGUUGUGUUAAGCAGUGAAUGUGGGAAGGUAGUAGGAGGUGAGAACCAAGAAACAAGAGAUAGAACAUUCCAUAGAUAAAUAACAGGAGUGACAGGCUCCCAGAUGCAUUGUCAAGAGAACAUAUGAUGGCAAGGAUGGGCUGGAGUGAGAUGAGAGCCUAUUUAGAAGUAGUCCAGGUAAGAGAUGUGGAGGUCCCAAAUUAUGGCAAUAACAUAUCAAAGAUGGAUGAUAAUUAAUUAUAAAUCAUCUAAAAAUGUGAACUACCAUGUAAAACCAUACAAAGAUAUUAAUUAUUGAUAUUACUUUUCUGCAUGACCUUGGAGUCUGUUGUGGCAACCCACCCCUAGUUUAGUAAAUACUUGCUGUGGCCAAGCCAAAUGCACAAUGCCAUCUACAGUAGGCACGUGCUACCAUUACACGCCUUCUCAUGACUUCCCAGGAUUUACUAGGAAGGCUAUUUGUGGAACAAGCUCAUUUUAGCUUCUUAAAUAUCAUAAAAUAAACUGAGAUUGCCCAUUUUAUUUUAAGUAUGCUGCAGAAGACAAUUAACUUUGUUUCCAGCACAAAAUAUAAUGCCAAUAUAACUUUUGUGAAACGUAAAAUGGUGAAAUUUAAGGAUAUGGCUGAAGAUACCCAUGGUUUUAUAGGCUUUUCACUUAGAUGAAUGAAUGGAUGACUUUGCCACAGCAUUUUCAGCAUUCCAGGCUUGUGAUAAAAUGGAAUCCAGUUCAAGUUUCUUUUAACCUUCAUUUUUAGGAACCCGUGAUUACAUAUAUAAACAUUUAUCAAUAUACAUGUUUGGAGUUGACAGUGAUUUAACAUUUUGACCAAAUACCUGUGCUAAAUUCAUUCAUGAGACAGCUGAGGAAAUCAUUUCUGGAAUAAUUUUUACUGUUCUUCAGUGUUCCUCAGGCAGGAAGCCACAGGAAACAAUGUAUUGUGGUGCAUAUUUCCCUGCAGGAUUUGGUAUGUCAUUCACUGUGGAGAAUUUUGCUUUCCAGCUGCCUAUAAUUCACAUUUUUGUACUUGCUUUUCCCUCCAGGAUAAUUUGAUGAAGUCAGUUCCUCAGAGAUAGAAAAUGUCUUUCUAUUUUUUUAAGACCAGAUUUGUUUCUUUUCCCAACUGAGAGAUAAACUUGAUUAAAAAGAAAACAUGUAAGUAGCCAGGAUUAAUUAUUUUGACAUAUGAAAUAACCAUGAUCGCAAUAUGAAAUAGUCAUUAGAUAAUUUUAAUAAUCUAGUAGGGUAAGUGCCUUUGGUUGAAUGAAAAUAAGGUCUGUCAAAAUUUUGGAUCAGUUUAAAAUGUAGUAAAUUAGAACCUGGAAUAUGGAAAUGAAAACCACCCUUUUUCGAGAGAACUUCACUAUUCUUUUAUUAGGUCUGAUUUCUACUUUAAAGUUUUUCUACCCUCCUUUUCCUUUCACUUCCCUGCGAAACAUUGUCCCACUAGACGAGACAUUAGACGAGAAAAUAGCAGAAUAAAAUGUUUUAAAAUCAGAACUAAUAUCCUCACGUUAAGCACGUUAAGCAACUAUUUUUUUUAAACACCUACACCAGUGGAUUUUCAACCUGCCUGUAAGAAUCACUGGAGGAACUUUUUAAAAAUGCACAGACCUUCACGCCUGUAAUUCCAGCACUUUGGGAGGCCAAGGCAGGCAGAUCACUUGAGGUCAGGAAUUCGAGACCAGCCUGGCUAACGUCGUGAAACCCUGUUUCUACUAAAAAUACAAAAAGAAUUAGCCGGGCGUGGUGGCACGCGCCUGUAUUCCAGCUACUGGGGAGGCUGAGUGAGGCAGGAGAAUCACUUGAACCGGGGAGGCGGAGGUUGCAGUGAGCCAAGAUUGCGCUAUUACACUCCAGCUUGGGCAACAAGGAUGAAACUCCGUCUCAAAAAAAAAAAAAAAAAAAAAAAAAAAAAGCACAGAUUUCACCUUCUGAAUUACUAAUCCAAUUCAUAUGAGGUGGGACCUAAGUGUUCACAUUUCUCAGAACCUCCCAGGCUGACUUUAAUGUACAGUAGAGUUGAGACCACUGGCCUCUACUGUCCUUUGCAUAGGUGUCCGUAGGCUCUUUUUCAACCUGCCAAACCGGAUUUCUCUAUCACCCACUUAAAGACUACACUUGGGGUAACAGUGAUAAUCAAGCUCUGUGGUCUCCAAAGUGAGGGGUCCAAGAUGAUCUAUUAGAGUGUGAGAAAAAUAUGAGAAGUUUAUUUUUUAAUCACAUCCUUUAAUGAUAUGUUUUUAAAAUAUUUUAUGAUGCACAUAAUGUAUUAGUACAAUAGAUUGGGGGAGGGGAGACAGAACAGAAAACACCAUUUUUCCUGUUACAUAGAUCCCCUCAUUCUCUGCUUUCAAUGAGAGCAGUUUCAACGUUGGCUUUUUGAUGUCUGCUGAUUGCUACAGACUUCUCUAGAGCUAAGUAUGGAGUUUUAUAAGACGCAUGUCCUCCACUGCACAGCUGUAUUCUAUGACCAACCACAGAACACAAUCUUUUCUUUUUUUUUUUUUUUUUGAGAUGGAGUUUUGCUCUUGUUGCCCAGGCUGGAGUACAAUGGCACGAUCUCAACUCAUCACAACCCUGCCUCCUGGGUUCCAGUGAUUCUCCUGCCUCAGCCUCCCGAGUAGCUCGGAUUACAGGCAUGCGCCACUACACCCAGCUAAUUUUGUAUUUUUAGUAGAGGUUUCUCUAUGUUGGUCAGGCUGGUCUCGAACUCCUGACCCCAGCUGAUCUGCCUGCCUUGUCCUCCAAAGUGUUGGGAUUACAGGCGUGAGCCACCGUGCCGGGCCUAGAACAGUCUUUCUUCCUAGGUCUUUGUCCUUCCCAGGGUUCCUGAUACAGCUUUACCUCCUGAUCCCUUCUCUUAGUAAAAUUUCUUCUCACCCUUCCAAAUUCUUCUAAAACACACAAGCAUUUUUGGGUACAGUAACAAGAGAGACUUUAAUAUAGAAAUGCCACCAAAAUGUCCCCCGAUGGUAAGAAUUUUUGAGUUAUAAUGACGUUGUGGUCACUUUUUUUUUUUCUAAGAUAGAGUUUCACUUUUGUCACCCAGCCUGAAGUGCAGUGGCACGAUCUUGGCUCACUGUAACCUCUGCCUCCUGGGUUCAAGCAAUUCUGCUGCCUUAGCCUCCCAAGUAACUGGGAUUAUAGGCGUGCGCCACCACACCCAGAUAAUUUUGUAUUUUUGGUAGAAAUGGGGUUUCACCAUGUUGGCCAGGCUCGUCUUGAGCUCCUGACCUCGUGAUCAGCCCGCCUCAGCCUCCCAAAGUACUGGGAUUACGGGCGUGAGCCACCGUACCCGGCCAUUAACUACAACAAUUUAAGAAAAAAACUAAUAUGAGAACGGGGAAAAUGGAUGUGGUUGAAUGACACGAUUGGCCAGGAUUAGACAAUUGUUGGAUCAGAGUACUGGGUACAUGAAGGUCAUUAUUAUAUUCUGCUUACUUUUUUGUAUGCUCAAUUUUUCAUAAUAA